Neomonachus schauinslandi (Hawaiian monk seal) is the source of this 262-nucleotide long non-coding RNA. RefSeq lists it as uncharacterized. The transcript has 3 exons. Lineage: Eukaryota; Metazoa; Chordata; Mammalia; Carnivora; Phocidae. The record is from RefSeq and is a predicted model, not a curated record.
CGGCGGAGGCGGCGCACGUGACGUCGCUCUUCCCGCGGGAGGCGGGCAGCGGCUCUCGCCUCACCUGGUCCUCGCGGCUCCUGGCAAACCACCAUUCUCCUUUCUGUCUCUGGGAAUUUGACUGCUCUAGGUACCUCGGAUAAGUGGAAUCAUCCAGUGUUUGUCUUGCUGACCGGCUCAUUUCACUUAGGAUGAUAUCUUCAAGGUUCGUCAACAGUGUGGAGCUGACUGGCCAUCCAUACACAGGCAGACAAUGCAUGUU